GCGAUUCCGGCUACGGAUGGUCAUGCGUCGCAUUAGCUUGUUGGCGGGGUAACGGCCCACCAAGGCGACGAUGCGUAGGGGUUCUGAGAGGAAGGUCCCCCACACUGGUACUGAGACACGGACCAGACUCCUACGGGAGGCAGCAGUGAGGAAUAUUGGUCAAUGGCCGCAGGGCUGAACCAGCCAAGUCGCGUGAGGGAUGACGGUCCUAUGGAUUGUAAACCUCUUUUGUCAGGGAGCAAAGGGCGCCACGUGUGGCGUUUUGCGAGUACCUGAAGAAAAAGCAUCGGCUAACUCCGUGCCAGCAGCCGCGGUAAUACGGAGGAUGCGAGCGUUAUCCGGAUUUAUUGGGUUUAAAGGGUGCGCAGGCGGAAUGUCAAGUCAGCGGUAAAAUUUCGGGGCUCAACCCCGUCGUGCCGUUGAAACUGGCGUUCUUGAGUGAGCGAGAAGUAUGCGGAAUGCGUGGUGUAGCGGUGAAAUGCAUAGAUAUCACGCAGAACUCCGAUUGCGAAGGCAGCAUACCGGCGCUCAACUGACGCUCAUGCACGAAAGCGUGGGUAUCGAACAGGAUUAGAUACCCUGGUAGUCCACGCAGUAAACGAUGAAUACUAACUGUCCGGGCAGAAUGAUGCCUGG
RNAcentral lists this ribosomal RNA (636 nucleotides) under uncultured bacterium. RNAcentral describes it as "bacterial SSU rRNA". It matches the Rfam family "Bacterial small subunit ribosomal RNA", at positions 209 to 842 of the family's 1533-position model. The record is from RNAcentral.